Molecule: small RNA, 91 nt
Filed under: Arabidopsis thaliana (thale cress)
Lineage: Eukaryota; Viridiplantae; Streptophyta; Magnoliopsida; Brassicales; Brassicaceae
Description: ATSL072340
Source: RNAcentral
UGUGAUAUAAUUCAUCACUAUGAAAAUCUGAUGAAAACACAUCAAUAGAUAUACAUCACCGGCACAAAACAAACAUCAUUAACAAUUUAAA